GAAAAAGAAUUUUGGCAUGAAAUAGCUUGUGGAAAGACUGAUAGUGUAGAAUAUGCCUGUGAUGUUGAUGGUAGUGCGUUCUCAUCUUCUCCAAAUGAUCAGCUCGGAAAAAGCAAAUGGAAUUUGAAGGAACUUUCUCGGUUGCCUAAAUCAGUACUGCGGCUCCUCGAAAAAUCAAUCCCGGGAGUUACUGAACCUAUGUUGUAUAUUGGAAUGCUAUUUAGUAUGUUUGCUUGGCAUG
RNAcentral lists this unclassified non-coding RNA (241 nucleotides) under Hevea brasiliensis (rubber tree). The record is from RNAcentral. Lineage: Eukaryota; Viridiplantae; Streptophyta; Magnoliopsida; Malpighiales; Euphorbiaceae.